AAUUUUUUACUAAGUUACGAAUUAAAAAAAAAAAUUAUUAAAAGUCACUACAACAAAAACGGUAUAUAGCGACACUUUUAAAUAUCGGUAUAGGUCAAAAAAGUGCUGCUCGCUAAAUUUACCGACACUUUUGAAAAGUGUUGCUAAAUGUGGGGUCGCUAGAUAUAUAGUGACAAUUAAAGAGUGUUGCUAUAAUCUAAAAUAGUGCUGCUAAUUUACUAAUAUUUAUUUAAGCAUCUAGCAACCGCCGGAACUCUACCUCGUUGGCUGCGGUGGCGGAGGAGGACGAGAGGAAAUGAUCUUGGUCUAGAAUUUCAGUCGAUUGAGUGAGGAAAGAAGGGAAAAUGAUAAUCGAUUUUUCUUUUCUUUUUCUUUUCUUUUUCUUUUCUGUUUGUAAUCGGGCCGAAUGGGCUAAGUGGAGUGGGUUGAGUAGAGUACCCUUUUAUUUUUAGUUGGAUUGGACUUUAUAUUUAGGCAUUAGUAGGAUUUUUUUUUAAAUUUUGGCAUAAAUGUGACACUUAUACAAAAGUGUCCCAAACAUGUGUCGCUAUAACUUAAUUCUGUUGUAGUGAGUUUAGAAACUAAAUCAAAGCAUUAUUGAAAGGU
Molecule: long non-coding RNA, 606 nt
Filed under: Ananas comosus (pineapple)
Lineage: Eukaryota; Viridiplantae; Streptophyta; Magnoliopsida; Poales; Bromeliaceae
Description: long non-coding RNA (ACOM_LNC001143)
Source: RNAcentral